This 339-nucleotide unclassified non-coding RNA is filed under the name uncultured fungus. RNAcentral describes it as "partial contains 5.8S ribosomal RNA and internal transcribed spacer 2". The stretch from base 1 to 133 matches the Rfam family "5.8S ribosomal RNA", at positions 22 to 154 of the family's 154-position model. The record is from RNAcentral. Lineage: Eukaryota; Fungi.
UGGUUCUCGCAUCGAUGAAGAACGCAGCGAAAUGCGAUAAGUAAUGUGAAUUGCAGAAUUCAGUGAAUCAUCGAAUCUUUGAACGCAUAUUGCGCCCUUUGGUAUUCCGAGGGGCAUGCCUUUUCGAGCGUCAUAAAUAAAAGCCAGGUUGCCUUGGUGUUGGGCCUGCGUCGCAAAGUCGAUGCGCCUUAAAGUAAUUCGGCGGCUCCGCACGAGCUAUGGGCGUAGUGGAAAAGAAGCGCUCGUUGGUGAUGUGCGGGCUUAAGCCUCGCAAGUAAAAUCUUUUUUGCAGGGAAAAGAAAAAAGAUUGACCUCGGAUAAGGUAGGGAUACCCGCUGA